CCUGUUGGGGUUCAGCGGCGCUGGUGCUAUUUGCACUGCUUUCCCCUGAGCCUUUUGGCCUCGUCUGCAUGGAGAGGCUCUGGAAGCGCCAUACAGGUGCCAGGGUGCUGCUGCCAUGUUUGCUUACGUGAUGGUGUCCAAGCCACCCUUGCCAUGCCACCCAGCUCUCCUUGCAAAACAGCGUGAGGCACACAUGCGUGUUGCCAUGCAUGGUGAUGUUUCCAACACAAAUGGCCCUUGCACAGUUGCCGUUAGUGAGGCACUUGGUGCAUGUGCAGCUCUUCGACUAGGUGAUACCCCAUCACCACACAUGUGAAGGUUGCUAUAAUGCAAAACCGUCCACUCGAGUGCUGCUGCAUGGUUAUUUUUUAGCUCAGGGUGUCCCCCCAUAACAUGCUGUGGUUCCCCUCUGCCCUGCUUUCUUUUCUCUGCCAAUUAUUAUUCUAAAAAGAGGUGCCCAGGGAAAGGUGGUGCUGUAGGAUUGGCAUUUAGACCUGCUGGAGUGCCCCAGGGAAAGAAAAGCAGCACCGCAAUGCGACCUGAUGAAGUGACAGUAGGCUUCACUGGUGAAAGUGUUGGGCAAAAGAGCACAAAACAGAUGAACAGAAAGGUUAAAGCUGUACGGUGAGACCAGAGAUUUCUUAAGACUGGUGCAAGUGUAUCUUAGCCCCAGUAGGUAAGAAGGAAAACAUCCGCGACUGCAGAAGUUUCGGAGAAAGGAAGCUCAUGGAAUGAAGACGGGAUGGAACGAAGCUCGUGGAAUGAGACUCCGGAACAUGUUGCUGCUACGAUGGGUUGAACCUUCACUCAGACAAGAAUAGUUUGCCUUUAAGAAAGGGUUCACUCUACAACUGCUGGAAGAAGGAAUGCACUUCAGAGUGACUCUUGGAGCCUCCGUAAUGAAAGCAUGCCCCCUGCCAUGCCUGCUUCCAGGGCACAUGUAAAAAUACCCUCGGAUAUUGAAGAGAAUCUUACCAUUUGGAAUCAAGAAGAGAAAGAGAAGACGAUUAGUAAAAGGAACUGCUGCUAAGUCCAUCAAUGACAUGCUGAAUAUGAAGGCUUUUACAGGUAUUCAUAAUGUGUACUCUGCUUCUUAAAGAAAGAAAUAGCUCAAGAGUCACCAGACAAUUCAAAUGGCCUAAUGAUUGCCUGAGUGCCAAUUAAUAGUCUUUAUUGUAAUUAAAUUGUUUGAUGUAAGAGAACUUAAUACAUGCAAAAAAAAAAGGAACACGCAGUGAAAACAAGAACACGACAGGCAUGCAUACUUUAUAAACAGAAAAUGUUUAAAGAUCAAGAUUAUCUUUGGGUCCAGUUUCUCAUAGUAUAUAAGUUGUCAUUUUUAAGCUACAUAGAAAAUGAGAAUGAAACAACAGAUUGGUUUAUUCUACUCUACCUGAGCAACAAACAGAUUACAAUUAGGGUAGCUUCUAUUUUCCUUUUUGCGUCUAAACAACACUUAGUUGCAGGGAGCAAUUCUACCCCGUAGUAUUGAUAUGUAAGUGUAUGCAUGUAGUUUGAGCAUUUACAUGGCUAUGUACACAUGCCCAUUCUAGACAUGUAUGAGCAUCCAAGUUCAGAAAACGUAUACAAGCAGAAA
Alligator sinensis (Chinese alligator) is the source of this 1597-nucleotide long non-coding RNA. RefSeq lists it as uncharacterized. The transcript is spliced from 3 exons. NCBI's taxonomy places the organism in Eukaryota, Metazoa, Chordata, Crocodylia, Alligatoridae. The record is from RefSeq and is a predicted model, not a curated record.